AUGCAUGCUGUGGCUUCCCAGCCACAAGACGUCCACCUCUUCCCACUGAUGAGGUUGUGGAUAUUACAGAAAUAGCAUGCUAGAGAAAAUAUAUUGGAGUUAACAGGGCCACCAGUCUAUCAAGAACAGACUGUGUUGGUAGUAUAAUACUCCAACAAAU
This is a small nucleolar RNA of Astyanax mexicanus (Mexican tetra), 160 nucleotides long. The record is from Ensembl. NCBI's taxonomy places the organism in Eukaryota, Metazoa, Chordata, Actinopteri, Characiformes, Acestrorhamphidae.